AUUGAACGCUGGCGGCAGGCCUAACACAUGCAAGUCGAACGAGUGGCGGACGGGUGAGUAAUGUCUGGGAAACUGACUGAUGGAGGGGGAUAACUACUGGAAACGGUAGCUAAUACCGCAUACCAUCAGAUGUGCCCAGAUGGGAUUAGCUGGUUGGUGGUGGAACUGCUCACCACGGCGACGAUCCACAGCUGGUCUGCGAGGAUGACCAGCCACACUGGAACUGAGACACGGUCCAUACUCCUACGGGAGUCAGCAGUGGGGAAUAUUGCACAAUGGGCGCAAGCCUGAUGCAGCCAUGCGGCGUGUAUGAAGAAGGCCUUCGGGUUGUAAAGUACUUUCCGCGGGGAGGCGUUACCCGCAGAAGAAGCACCGGCUAACUCCGUGCCAGCAGCCGCGGUAAUAC
This 406-nucleotide ribosomal RNA is filed under the name uncultured bacterium. RNAcentral describes it as "partial 16S ribosomal RNA". It matches the Rfam family "Bacterial small subunit ribosomal RNA", at positions 30 to 526 of the family's 1533-position model. The record is from RNAcentral.